This 253-nucleotide ribosomal RNA is filed under the name uncultured bacterium. RNAcentral's name for it is "partial 16S ribosomal RNA". It matches the Rfam family "Bacterial small subunit ribosomal RNA", at positions 524 to 776 of the family's 1533-position model. The record is from RNAcentral.
UACGAAGGGGGCUAGCGUUGCUCGGAAUCACUGGGCGUAAAGCGCACGUAGGCGGAUUGUUAAGUCAGGGGUGAAAUCCUGGAGCUCAACUCCAGAACUGCCUUUGAUACUGGCGAUCUCGAGUCCGGGAGAGGUGCGUGGAACUGCGAGUGUAGAGGUGAAAUUCGUAGAUAUUCGCAAGAACACCAGUGGCGAAGGCGGCUCACUGGCCCGGUACUGACGCUGAGGUGCGAAAGCGUGGGGAGCAAACAGG